AUGACUGGUGACAAGAAUCUAUUGAUGGAUGCUCCCUUAUCUCCAUCGCAUCUGAAGCAUAUCAUCUUCGCUGACAAAGGCAAAAGUCAGGUAUUGGGUCUAGGUAAGGUUGCGAUCUCAAAGGAUCGACACAUGGACAAAGUCAUGCUUGUCGAGUCCUUAAGAUACAACCUCAUGUCUGUCUCAAUGCUUUGUGAUCUUGGUAUGGUUGUUGUAUUUGGCAAGUAUCGUUGUGUUGUGAUCAUGGAAGCUGACAAUUCCAAAGUCUUCGAAGGCUUUAGGAGAGGAGACUUGUAUACUAUUGAUUUCUCUACAGGACCACAACCAGCCGUAUGCCUACUUGCAAAAGCUUCAGAAGUCUGGCUAUGGCAUCGACGACUUGGUCAUGCAGGCAUGAGGAAUUUGCACACGCUUGCGAAGAAGAAGCAUGUCAUUGGCAUUGAGAAUGUCAAAUUCCUCAAAGAUCACUUAUGCGGAGCCUAUGAAGCUGGAAAGAUGACCAUGGCCAAACAUCCAGCGAAGACAAUCAUGACUACCACUCGACCAUUUGAAUUGCUUCAUAUGGAUCUCUUUGGUCCUAACCAUUAUUCUGCAGUUACAAAUGAUGCAUCUCUAUAUGGCUUUGUUAUUGUUGAUGAUUACUCUCGUUACACAUAG
Molecule: ribosomal RNA, 657 nt
Filed under: Triticum aestivum (bread wheat)
Lineage: Eukaryota; Viridiplantae; Streptophyta; Magnoliopsida; Poales; Poaceae
Description: partial small subunit ribosomal RNA
Source: RNAcentral